This 490-nucleotide ribosomal RNA is filed under the name Xenococcus sp. HSC16. RNAcentral describes it as "bacterial SSU rRNA". It matches the Rfam family "Bacterial small subunit ribosomal RNA", at positions 196 to 703 of the family's 1533-position model. The record is from RNAcentral. Lineage: Bacteria; Bacillati; Cyanobacteriota; Cyanophyceae; Pleurocapsales; Xenococcaceae.
AGGGGUGAAAGUUAUUUCGCCCGAAGAGGAGCUCGCGUCCGAUUAGCUAGUUGGUGGGGUAAGAGCCUACCAAGGCAGCGAUCGGUAGCUGGUCUGAGAGGAUGAGCAGCCACACUGGGACUGAGACACGGCCCAGACUCCUACGGGAGGCAGCAGUGGGGAAUUUUCCGCAAUGGGCGAAAGCCUGACGGAGCAAUACCGCGUGAGGGAGGAAGGCCUUUGGGUUGUAAACCUCUUUUCUCAAGGAAGAAGCCAGUGACGGUACUUGAGGAAUCAGCAUCGGCUAACUCCGUGCCAGCAGCCGCGGUAAUACGGAGGAUGCAAGCGUUAUCCGGAAUCAUUGGGCGUAAAGCGUCCGCAGGUGGCGUAUCAAGUCUGCUGUCAAAGACUAGAGCUCAACUCCGGAAAGGCGGUGGAAACUGGUAGGCUAGAGUACGGUAGGGGUAGAGGGAAUUCCCAGUGUAGCGGUGAAAUGCGUAGAUAUUGGGAA